Molecule: ribosomal RNA, 274 nt
Filed under: uncultured bacterium
Lineage: Bacteria
Description: partial 16S ribosomal RNA
Rfam family: Bacterial small subunit ribosomal RNA
Source: RNAcentral
AUACGGAGGGUGCAAGCGUUACUCGGAAUCACUGGGCGUAAAGCGCGCGCAGGCGGCUUGAUAAGUUGGAUGUGAAAGCCUACGGCUCAACCGUAGAACUGCAUCCAAAACUGUCAAGCUAGAGUCUGAGAGGGGAAGAUGGAAUUAGUUGUGUAGGGGUAAAAUCCGUAGAGAUAACUAGGAAUACCAAAAGCGAAGGCAAUCUUCUGGAACACUACUGACGCUGAGGCGCGAAGGCGUGGGGAGCAAACAGAAUUAGAAACCCCAGUAGUCC